CCUUUAGCUCAGCUGGCAGAGCAUCGGACUUUUAAUCCGCCGGUCGCGGGUUCGAUCCCCGCAGGGC
Molecule: transfer RNA, 67 nt
Filed under: Micrococcus luteus
Lineage: Bacteria; Bacillati; Actinomycetota; Actinomycetes; Micrococcales; Micrococcaceae
Rfam family: tRNA
About the family: Transfer RNA (tRNA) molecules are approximately 80 nucleotides in length.
Source: RNAcentral